GGGCAUGCGUAGCUACACAUGCAAGUCGAACGGCAGCACAGAGGAGCUUGCUCCUUGGGUGGCGAGUGGCGGACGGGUGAGGAAUACAUCGGAAUCUACUUUUUCGUGGGGGAUAACGUAGGGAAACUUACGCUAAUACCGCAUACGACCUACGGGUGAAAGCAGGGGACCUUCGGGCCUUGCGCGAUUGAAUGAGCCGAUGUCGGAUUAGCUAGUUGGCGGGGUAAAGGCCCACCAAGGCGACGAUCCGUAGCUGGUCUGAGAGGAUGAUCAGCCACACUGGAACUGAGACACGGUCCAGACUCCUACGGGAGGCAGCAGUGGGGAAUAUUGGACAAUGGGCGCAAGCCUGAUCCAGCCAUACCGCGUGGGUGAAGAAGGCCUUCGGGUUGUAAAGCCCUUUUGUUGGGAAAGAAAUCCAGCCGGCUAAUACCUGGUUGGGAUGACGGUACCCAAAGAAUAAGCACCGGCUAACUUCGUGCCAGCAGCCGCGGUAAUACGAAGGGUGCAAGCGUUACUCGGAAUUACUGGGCGUAAAGCGUGCGUAGGUGGUUGUUUAAGUCUGUUGUGAAAGCCCUGGGCUCAACCUGGGAACUGCAGUGGAAACUGGACAACUAGAGUGUGGUAGAGGGUAGCGGAAUUCCCGGUGUAGCAGUGAAAUGCGUAGAGAUCGGGAGGAACAUCCAUGGCGAAGGCAGCUACCUGGACCAACACUGACACUGAGGCACGAAAGCGUGGGGAGCAAACAGGAUUAGAUACCCUGGUAGUCCACGCCCUAAACGAUGCGAACUGGAUGUUGGGUGCAAUUUGGCACGCAGUAUCGAAGCUAACGCGUUAAGUUCGCCGCCUGGGGAGUACGGUCGCAAGACUGAAACUCAAAGGGAAUUGACGGGGGCCCGCACAAGCGGUGGAGGUAUGUGGUUUAAUUCGAUGCAACGCGAAGACCCUUACCUGUCCUUGACAUGUCGAGAACUUUCCAGAGAUGGAUUGGUGGCUUUCUGGUACUCGAACACAGGUGCUGCAUGGCUGUCGUCGGCUCGUGUCUUGAUAUGUCGGAUAAGUCCCGCUACCAAGCGAACCCUCGUUCCUUACUUGCGGCGUCUUAAUGCGAGGGAACGUCUGAGCGAGACUGCUCUGAUAACUAACCGCCGCUGGAAGCGCGACGGAGAGAAGAAAGGGGGAGAUGGGCUUCUGAUGUGCACUGGGGGCUUCUAUCCCUCCUCUUGACGACACGGCAGUGCAUGGAUUUGGUGGUGGGAAGGAUCGUUUACGUACAGAUG
Molecule: ribosomal RNA, 1280 nt
Filed under: Stenotrophomonas maltophilia
Lineage: Bacteria; Pseudomonadati; Pseudomonadota; Gammaproteobacteria; Lysobacterales; Lysobacteraceae
Description: partial 16S ribosomal RNA
Rfam family: Bacterial small subunit ribosomal RNA
Source: RNAcentral